CUCUGGAUAUUUGUUACUUCAUACAAACUGACAUGAAUAAUUCCAAAAGUUAAUUCUAAAAUAUACAAUUAUUAUAUAUCUAAAGUUGAUGCAUCCUCAAUAUACAACUACUCUACAAGAGACGCAAUAAAAUUUGUAAAAUAAAAACUAGCUAAUGGGAGGCUAGACAUUAAAUUUUGUCAAACUAAAAUAAUACAAACUAUGUACAUUGGGUUAGAUAUUUUAUCUUUAAUCUAUAAAUUCUAGGGAGUUCCACGUUAAAAAAGAAAAAGUUCUAAGUAAUUGAUCAUGGGUAUGAAAAUGUUGCCACUCGAUUGCAUUCAAGAAAGAAAUAACUUCAGUCUCCUUAAUCUUCUUGCAUUCAAGAAUUAAAAUGCACCCUGUAAAUUCAAAAGAAACAAUAAUUAGCACAAAAAUGAUGAGAAAACCCAGGGAAAAUUAUAAUACAAAGAUUAAGUUUAAUUGGUAAAAAUGCUACUAAUAGAAUUUCAAGAAGAAAAAAUUAUGUCUUCAUAAUCUUUUACAAGAAUUUUUAACAAAUAACAAAAGGGAAAGACUCAAAACAACAACAUAAGUAAACGAAUCUGUACACAUUUUAAAGAAUUUCUUAAGGAAUCAUCAUCCCAACAUUACAACCUUAUAAUUUUCAAGUUUCCACGCAAUAUUUAUAACAAAGAAAAUAUAAUAUUUAUCAAAUUGUUGGAAUAACCCGCAAAAUUUAACCCAGAAAUCUUAGUCAAGUAGAUAUAAGGAGAUUCAAAAACCUUAAAAUCUAGAGAUAUGUAUAUACUCGGAAGAGAGAAAUGGGAAAGUGGGAGGAGGGGGGUGGCGGCUUAGAGGGGGAGAUGUGAGGAUGAAAUUAGGUUUUGGUUUUGGCUUUGUUAUUGCUUUACUUUUUGU
This 900-nucleotide long non-coding RNA is filed under the name Nicotiana tabacum (common tobacco). RNAcentral describes it as "long non-coding RNA (NTAB_LNC017471)". The record is from RNAcentral. Lineage: Eukaryota; Viridiplantae; Streptophyta; Magnoliopsida; Solanales; Solanaceae.